This 451-nucleotide ribosomal RNA is filed under the name uncultured bacterium. RNAcentral describes it as "bacterial SSU rRNA". It matches the Rfam family "Bacterial small subunit ribosomal RNA", at positions 354 to 796 of the family's 1533-position model. The record is from RNAcentral.
GUGGGGAAUAUUGGACAAUGGGGGGAACCCUGAUCCAGCCAUGCCGCGUGUGUGAAGAAGGCCUUUUGGUUGUAAAGCACUUUAAGCGAGGAGGAGGCUACCGAGAUUAAUACUCUUGGAUAGUGGACGUUACUCGCAGAAUAAGCACCGGCUAACUCUGUGCCAGCAGCCGCGGUAAUACAGAGGGUGCAAGCGUUAAUCGGAUUUACUGGGCGUAAAGCGCGCGUAGGUGGCCAAUUAAGUCAAAUGCGAAAUCCCCGAGCUUAACUUGGGAAUUGCAUUCGAUACUGGUUGGCUAGAGUAUGGGAGAGGAUGGUAGAAUUCCAGGUGUAGCGGUGAAAUGCGUAGAGAUCUGGAGGAAUACCGAUGGCGAAGGCAGCCAUCUGGCCUAAUACUGACACUGAGGUGCGAAAGCAUGGGGAGCAAACAGGAUUAGAAACCCUGGUAGUCC